AUGUAAUUGUAAUAACAUUAUAAUUCCUCAUAGUGCAUUUACAGGAAAAUAAUUGUAUAACUUGAUUGUAAAACCUAUUUGUAUAACCAUCAUUAUUAGCAUAUAGACUUUCUAUAAUAAGCCAUGUUAUUGUAUAUUGCCUGUAUAUCUCAAUAUUCUUAAUUACGUAUUGUAUUGUAUAUAUUUUUGCCCUGUUUCUCUAUUCAGAGCUACUCCACAGGGGGAAAAACAGACUUAUUGCCCCCUUUACCCCCAUCUUCAAGAGAUCCCCAUGUUCCUCACCCCCCACACCACCACCAUCACCACCACCAUCACCAUCGCAGCCAUAUGUCUGUCUGUCUGCUACCGCCACCUAUGUCUUCCAAGUCCGAGCUGUUCAAAGAGAGAGAGACGCCGCCACCCAUCAGGCCUCUUGAGAGUGAAACAGAUGCUGUGCUGACUAGACUGUGUGGGUGUGACAAGCUUCUCCAGUCUCUCUCUCUAGAGCUGGCCCAUCUACAAGUUGACAAGGUCAGUCCCUUCAGCUUACAGUUUC
This is a long non-coding RNA of Salvelinus fontinalis (brook trout), 535 nucleotides long. RefSeq lists it as uncharacterized. The transcript has 3 exons. The record is from RefSeq and is a predicted model, not a curated record. Lineage: Eukaryota; Metazoa; Chordata; Actinopteri; Salmoniformes; Salmonidae.